Molecule: ribosomal RNA, 429 nt
Filed under: uncultured archaeon
Lineage: Archaea
Description: bacterial SSU rRNA
Rfam family: Archaeal small subunit ribosomal RNA
Source: RNAcentral
UACCUGCAGCUCAAGUGGUGGCCGUUAUUAUUGGGCCUAAAACGUCCGUAGCCGGUUUAUUAAAUGCCUGGGUAAAUCGGGCCGCUUAACGGUUCGAAUUCCGGGUAGACUGAUAGACUUGGGACCGGGAGAAGCUAGAGGUACUCCUGGGGUAGAGGUGAAAUUCUGUAAUCCUGGGGGGACCACCAGUGGCGAAGGCGUCUAGCUAGAACGGGUCUGACGGUGAGGAACGAAGCCCUGGGGCGCAAACCGGAUUAGAUACCCGGGUAGUCCAGGGUGUAAACGCUGCUUGCUUGAUGUUAGUUGGGCUCCGAGCCCAAUUAGUGUCGGAGAGAAGUUGUUAAGCAAGCUGCCUGGGAAGUACGAUCGCAAGAUUGAAACUUAAAGGAAUUGGCGGGGGAGCACAGCAACGGGUGGAGCGUGCGGUUU